Molecule: ribosomal RNA, 464 nt
Filed under: uncultured bacterium
Lineage: Bacteria
Description: partial 16S ribosomal RNA
Rfam family: Bacterial small subunit ribosomal RNA
Source: RNAcentral
CUACGGGAGGCACCAGUGGGGAAUAUUGCACAAUGGGCGCAAGCCUGAUGCAGCCAUGCCGCGUGUAUGAAGAAGGCCUUCGGGUUGUGAAGUACUUUCAGCGGGGAGGAAGGGAGUAAAGUUAAUACCUUUGCUCAUUGACGUUACCCGCAGAAGAAGCACCGGCAAACUCCGUGCCAGCAGCCGCGGUAAUACGGAGGGUGCAAGCGUUAAUCGGAAUUACUGGGCGUAAAGCGCACGCAGGCGGUUUGUUAAGUCAGAUGUGAAAUCCCCGGGCUCAACCUGGGAACUGCAUCUGAUACUGGCAAGCUUGAGUCUCGUAGAGGGGGGUAGAAUGCCAGGUGUAGCGGUGAAAUGCGUAGAGAUCUGGAGGAAUACCGGUGGCGAAGGCGGCCCCCUGGACGAAGACUGACGCUCAGGUGCGAAAGCGUGGGGAGCAAACAGGAUUAGAUACCCGGGUAGUC